RNAcentral lists this transfer RNA (76 nucleotides) under Thermotomaculum hydrothermale. Its description in RNAcentral is "tRNA-Lys". It matches the Rfam family "tRNA". From Rfam's summary of the family: Transfer RNA (tRNA) molecules are approximately 80 nucleotides in length. Their secondary structure includes four short double-helical elements and three loops (D, anti-codon, and T loops). The record is from RNAcentral. Lineage: Bacteria; Pseudomonadati; Acidobacteriota; Holophagae; Thermotomaculales; Thermotomaculaceae.
GGGGUAUUAGCUCAGUUGGUAGAGCAACUGACUCUUAAUCAGUGGGUCGGGGGUUCGAAUCCCUCAUACCCCACCA